ACGAACGCUGGCGGCGUGCUUAACACAUGCAAGUCGAACGGAAAGGCCCCUUCGGGGGUACUCGAGUGGCGAACGGGUGAGUAACACGUGGGUAAUCUGCCCUGCACUUCGGGAUAAGCCUGGGAAACUGGGUCUAAUACCGGAUAGGACCCCGAGGCGCAUGCCUUGGGGUGGAAAGCUUUUGCGGUGUGGGAUGGGCCCGCGGCCUAUCAGCUUGUUGGUGGGGUGACGGCCUACCAAGGCGACGACGGGUAGCCGGCCUGAGAGGGUGUCCGGCCACACUGGGACUGAGAUACGGCCCAGACUCCUACGGGAGGCAGCAGUGGGGAAUAUUGCACAAUGGGCGCAAGCCUGAUGCAGCGACGCCGCGUGGGGGAUGACGGCCUUCGGGUUGUAAACCUCUUUCACCAUCGACGAAGGUCCGGGUUUUCUCGGAUUGACGGUAGGUGGAGAAGAAGCACCGGCCAACUACGUGCCAGCAGCCGCGGUAAUACGUAGGGUGCGAGCGUUGUCCGGAAUUACUGGGCGUAAAGAGCUCGUAGGUGGUUUGUCGCGUUGUUCGUGAAAUCUCACGGCUUAACUGUGAGCGUGCGGGCGAUACGGGCAGACUGGAGUACUGCAGGGGAGACUGGAAUUCCUGGUGUAGCGGUGGAAUGCGCAGAUAUCAGGAGGAACACCGGUGGCGAAGGCGGGUCUCUGGGCAGUAACUGACGCUGAGGAGCGAAAGCGUGGGGAGCGAACAGGAUUAGAUACCCUGGUAGUCCACGCCGUAAACGGUGGGUACUAGGUGUGGGUUUCCUUCCUUGGGAUCCGUGC
This 816-nucleotide ribosomal RNA is filed under the name Mycobacterium szulgai. RNAcentral describes it as "bacterial SSU rRNA". It matches the Rfam family "Bacterial small subunit ribosomal RNA", at positions 29 to 846 of the family's 1533-position model. The record is from RNAcentral. Lineage: Bacteria; Bacillati; Actinomycetota; Actinomycetes; Mycobacteriales; Mycobacteriaceae.